Molecule: unclassified non-coding RNA, 369 nt
Filed under: Pseudospondias microcarpa
Lineage: Eukaryota; Viridiplantae; Streptophyta; Magnoliopsida; Sapindales; Anacardiaceae
Description: partial external transcribed spacer
Source: RNAcentral
UUUCGGUAUCCUGUGUUGCUUACCUAUCGAAAGGAAUUCGUUCGUUUCGCCGUCCCUUUCCGCCCGAUGCCCUCAAUGGGUGUGGGGUGGACAUCAGGCAAGAUCCGUGUUCCUGGCAUGUCCCGCCCGGUUGGGUGGACUGCCUUGGCCCAUGGCGUCAUUGCCCGUUCUCUCGGAUGCGGAAUGCCAUGCGUGGGCGCGGGGUCUCGGCCUUCGCUAGCCCAAGCUACGCAUUUGUCCCUUGACACGAACGACUGCCGCGCCCGUCUUGACCUCGCGUGCCUUUGGCUCGACGGGGCUCAUGCGGGUGUCGGCGUCGCCAAGGAAUGCUACCUGGUUGAUCCUGCCAGUAGUCAUAUGCUUGUCUCA